This 63-nucleotide transfer RNA is filed under the name Rhabdopleura compacta. RNAcentral's name for it is "transfer RNA-Met". Lineage: Eukaryota; Metazoa; Hemichordata; Pterobranchia; Rhabdopleurida; Rhabdopleuridae. The record is from RNAcentral.
GGUGAUAAAUGCGUUUUGCAGCAAGGUUCAUGUCCUUGUGGUUAUAAAUUUUUAUUGUCACUA